AGGACGAACGCUGGCGGCGUGCUUAACACAUGCAAGUCGAACGGAAAGGCCCUUCGGGGUACUCGAGUGGCGAACGGGUGAGUAACACGUGAGCAAUCUGCCCCUAGCUCUGGGAUAGCUCCGGGAAACCGGGAUUAAUACCAGAUAUUACUACGGCCGACAUCAGCUGUGGUGGAAAGAAUUUCGGCUAGGGAUGAGCUCGCGGCCUAUCAGCUUGUUGGUGGGGUAAAGGCCCACCAAGGCGACGACGGGUAGCCGGCCUGAGAGGGCGACCGGCCACACUGGGACUGAGACACGGCCCAGACUCCUACGGGAGGCAGCAGUGGGGAAUAUUGCGCAAUGGGCGAAAGCCUGACGCAGCGACGCCGCGUGCGGGAUGAAGGCCUGGUGUAACGCUUCAGCAGGGACGAAGCGAAGUGACGGUACCUGCAGAAGAAGCGCCGGCUAACUACGUGCCAGCAGCCGCGGUAA
This 471-nucleotide ribosomal RNA is filed under the name uncultured bacterium. RNAcentral describes it as "SSU rRNA". It matches the Rfam family "Bacterial small subunit ribosomal RNA", at positions 26 to 523 of the family's 1533-position model. The record is from RNAcentral.